This 223-nucleotide long non-coding RNA is filed under the name Lathyrus oleraceus (garden pea). Its description in RNAcentral is "Pisum sativum (pea) long non-coding RNA (PSAT_LNC020535)". Lineage: Eukaryota; Viridiplantae; Streptophyta; Magnoliopsida; Fabales; Fabaceae. The record is from RNAcentral.
UGAGCAACACAAAGAUAGCCUCGAAAGCAUCCACACUACCGGCUUGAGCAAAAGUAGUAGCUUCCUUGAUGAGGAACUCAGAAGUCAACCCAAACAAUCCUCCUUUCUUCACCUAAUGAGCCUCUAUCUCAGACUUCUUUAGGUGAAGAUCUUUAGCUAUAUGAUGAGAUCUGGGAAUCUCUUCCAAUCAACUAAUUGGAACUUUGUUAGAAGCAGGUAUUCC